GUCUAUGGCCACACCACCCUGAACACACCUGAUCUUGUCUAAUCUCAGAAGCUAAGCAGGGUCAGGCUUGGUUAGUACUUGGAUGGGAGGCAAUAGUCAUUCUAACAGGUGUAAGGU
Molecule: ribosomal RNA, 117 nt
Filed under: Microcebus murinus (gray mouse lemur)
Lineage: Eukaryota; Metazoa; Chordata; Mammalia; Primates; Cheirogaleidae
Source: RNAcentral